UACGGAGGGUGCAAGCGUUAUCCGGAUUUACUGGGUUUAAAGGGUGUGUAGGCGGGUUAUUAAGUCAGUGGUGAAAUCUCCGGGCUCAACCCGGAAACUGCCAUUGAUACUAUUAGUCUUGAAUUUUGUUGAGGUAGGCGGAAUAAGUCAUGUAGCGGUGAAAUGCAUAGAUAUGACUUAGAACAUCAAUUGCGAAGGCAGCUUGCUAAACAAAUAUUGACGCUGAGGCACGAAAGCGUGGGGAUCAAACAGG
RNAcentral lists this ribosomal RNA (253 nucleotides) under uncultured bacterium. RNAcentral's name for it is "partial 16S ribosomal RNA". It matches the Rfam family "Bacterial small subunit ribosomal RNA", at positions 524 to 776 of the family's 1533-position model. The record is from RNAcentral.